ACCCGGUCCAUGCCCUCCGGCUGAAUCCGGGCGGCCUGUAGGCCAGGCAGCCAGGAGGCCCUGUGCUGCAACAUCCCGGCGGCAGCCGGACCCGUUGCUCCGUCUAUCCUGCCUUCGGCCCUGUCCUGGAGCCAGGGCUGGGGUUUGCUGCCUCCCGCCUGACGGAGCAGGACUGGCAGGAAGCGUGUUUGCAAGAAGCCAAAAUUACAGAAGGCGAAGAUUUUUAAAUUAACUCCAUUCAUCUUUCAAGGGACAUUUCCAGAACCUCCAAAAGGCAACCCGAGGUCUUCUACACACCCUCCAGCAGACUGUCCCCACUGUCAGUGGAGGGAGCUAAGGUUCAGUGAGGUCAAGUGACUUAGUUGUCCCAGGUCAAAAUCCAAGUUUGCCUGGUGUCAAAGCCCAAGCACCCUUCAUUACACUAUGGGAUCAUCUAGAUGUGGUUGGGAGACGAGGAUCCUAGUUUUAAACUUCAGGCCCAGGAUUUGCUGGGUUUAGAUAUCUACUGGGAAAGGUAUAGAAUUCCAGAGUUGGAAAGCACUUAAAACCUUGCCUAAUGCAAGGCAAUCCGCUCAAUCCCAGGAACGAAACUUAAACUGACCUUAUUUUUUUUUUAAAUACAGGAUCUCAGUCGGUCGCCCAGGCUGGAGUGCAGUGGCACCAUCCCGUCUCACUGCAACCUCUGCCUCCUGCCUCCUGGGUUCAAGCGAUUCUCCAGCCUCAACCUCCCAAGUAGCUGGGAUUACAGGUGUGUGCCACCUCACCCGACUAUUUUUUUUUUGUAGAGACGGGGUUUCACUGUGUUGCCCAGGAUGGUCUUGAAUUCCUGAGCUCAAAGC
Molecule: long non-coding RNA, 839 nt
Filed under: Homo sapiens (human)
Lineage: Eukaryota; Metazoa; Chordata; Mammalia; Primates; Hominidae
Description: non-protein coding lnc-GSTA2-3:2
Source: RNAcentral